This 442-nucleotide ribosomal RNA is filed under the name uncultured bacterium. RNAcentral's name for it is "bacterial SSU rRNA". It matches the Rfam family "Bacterial small subunit ribosomal RNA", at positions 958 to 1398 of the family's 1533-position model. The record is from RNAcentral.
AACGCGAAGAACCUUACCUGGGUUUGACAUCCUCGGACAACCGUAGAGAUACGGCUUCUGUAGCAAUACAGCCGAGAGACAGGUGCUGCAUGGCUGUCGUCAGCUCGUGUGGUGACAUGUUGGGUUAAGUCCCGCAACGAGCGCAACCCUUGUCCUUAGUUGCCAGCAUUAAGUUGGGCUCUCUAAGGAGACUGCCGGUGACAAACCGGAGGAAGGUGGGGAUGACGUCAAGUCAUCAUGGCCCUUAUGACCAGGGCUACACACGUGCUACAAUGGUAGAUACAAAGGGUCGCGAAUCCGCAAGGUGGAGCCAAUCCCAUAAAGUCUAUCGUAGUCCGGAUCGGAGUCUGCAACUCGACUCCGUGAAGUCGGAAUCGCUAGUAAUCGUAGAUCAGCAUUGCUACGGUGAAUACGUUCCCGGGCCUUGUACACACCGAGUAUA